Molecule: long non-coding RNA, 1132 nt
Filed under: Anser cygnoides (Swan goose)
Lineage: Eukaryota; Metazoa; Chordata; Aves; Anseriformes; Anatidae
Description: lncRNA (ENSACDG00005016780.1)
Source: RNAcentral
CGGAACGGAGGCGGCGGCGGCGGGGAGGAGGAGGAGGGAGGAGGAGGCGGCAACGGCCGGCACCGCUCGGCAACUUCCGGAAGGGCUUCGGCACUCUCCGGAAGGGGUUCGGGGCUUUCCGGAAGGGCUUCGGGCUUUUCCGGAAGGGCUUCGGGGAUCUUCGGGAGGCUCCGCAAGGAUUUCGGGGAUCUUCGGGAACCUCCGGGAGGGAUUCGGGGCUCUUCGGGAGGCUCCGGAAGGGUUUCGGGGCUCUUCGGCAACUUCCGGAAGGGAUUCGGGGCUCUCCGGAACGGCUUCGGCUUUCUCCGGAAGAGCUUCGGGUCUCUUCGAAAGAGCUUCGGGAUUAUCCGGAAGGGGCUUCGGGUCUUUCCGGAACGGCUUCGGGACUUUCCGUAACGGCUUCGGCUCUCUCCGGAAAAGCUUCGGGUCUCUUCGAAAGAGCUUCGGGAUUGUCCGGAAGAGCCUUCGGGUCUUUCCGGAACGGCUUCGGGUCUCUUCGGAAGAGCUUCGGGGCUUUCCGGAAGGUGCUUCGGGUCUUUUCGGAACGCCUUCGGGAUUCUCCGGAAAGGAGCCGGGAGGGGGGAAUCGGAGGUUUCCGGGCAGGGUUCGGGAAGGCCCCCGGAACGCUUCGGGUUCGUCCGGAAGGAACGCGACUCGUUCCGGGUUCUUCCCUUCGGCUAUUUCCGGAAGGGGUUCGGCUCUUUCCGGAUUCUUCACCGGCGUUCUGCCGAGGAAGGGCUUUCGGCUCUUUCCGGAACGCUUCGGCACUUUCCGGCUCCGCGCCCUCCUCCCCGCCGCCUUCGUGUCUCGCCGGAAAACUUCGGCUCUUUCCGGAAGCCUCCCCGAACGCCGCCACCCCUCCCACACACAAACACCCGCUUCGGCUCUCUCCGGAAAGCUUCGGCUCUUUCCGCCUCCCCUCCCCUUUCCAUCAGCCAAUCCCGUGCCGAGGGGGAAGCUUGAGGCGCUCCAAUUGGCUCAGCCGGUGCCAGGGAGGGGGCGGGGCCUCGCCGCCCUCCCAUGGGCGCCGCCAUCUUUGUUGAGGGCAUCUCUCCCUUACUGGGUACAGGGAGGAUGGGACCUUACUGGGACCAGUUCCCCCCCUCCCAGUCCCUCCAGUAAGGCUGCAGUG